RNAcentral lists this ribosomal RNA (189 nucleotides) under uncultured bacterium. Its description in RNAcentral is "partial 16S ribosomal RNA". It matches the Rfam family "Bacterial small subunit ribosomal RNA", at positions 314 to 506 of the family's 1533-position model. The record is from RNAcentral.
CGCCGCGCGCGGCGGGCUACGGGAGGCAGCAGUGGGGAAUAUUGCACAAUGGGCGCAAGCCUGAUGCAGCCAUGCCGCGUGUAUGAAGAAGGCCUUCGGGUUGUAAAGUACUUUCAGCGGGGAGGAAGGUGUUGAGGUUAAUAACCUCAGCAAUUGACGUUACCCGCAGAAAGCACCGGCUAACUCCGU